GACGAACGCUGGCGGCGUGCUUAACACAUGCAAGUCGAACGGAAAGGCCCUGCUUUUGUGGGUUCCUGAGUGGCGAACGGGUGAGUAACACCUUAAUAACCUGCCCUUGACUUUUGGAUAACUUCAAGAAACUGGGGCCAAAUCCCGUUCGGAACUCCUGCCUCAUGGUGGGGGUUGGAAAAUUUCGGCUGUUGGGGAUGGACUCGCGGCUUAUCCGCUUGUUGGGGGGGUAGUGGCUUACCCAGGCUUUGACGGGUAGCCGGCCUGAGAGGGUGACCGGCCACAUUGGGACUGAGAUACGGCCCAGACUCCUACGGGAGGCAGCAGUGGGGAAUAUUGCACAAUGGGCGGAAGCCUGAUGCAGCAACGCCGCGUGCGGGAUGACGGCCUUCGGGUUGUAAACCGCUUUCGCCUGUGACGAAGCGUGAGUGACGGUAAUGGGUAAAGAAGCACCGGCUAACUACGUG
Molecule: ribosomal RNA, 467 nt
Filed under: uncultured bacterium
Lineage: Bacteria
Description: partial 16S ribosomal RNA
Rfam family: Bacterial small subunit ribosomal RNA
Source: RNAcentral